Molecule: ribosomal RNA, 170 nt
Rfam family: Bacterial large subunit ribosomal RNA
ACGAGAUAAACGCUGAAAGCAUCUAAGUGUGAAACUCGCCUCGAGAUGAGAUUUCCCAUUUCCUUCGGGAAAGUAAGACCCCUCAGAGAUGAUGAGGUAGAUAGGAUGGAAGUGGAAGUGCCGUGAGGCGUGGAGCGGACCAUUACUAAUCGGUCGAGGACUUAACCAAG